RNAcentral lists this transfer-messenger RNA (399 nucleotides) under human gut metagenome. It matches the Rfam family "transfer-messenger RNA". From Rfam's summary of the family: Bacterial tmRNA, also known as 10Sa RNA or SsrA, is named for its dual tRNA and mRNA-like properties. Its role is to liberate the mRNA from a stalled ribosome. To accomplish this part of the tmRNA is used as a reading frame that ends in a translation stop signal. The record is from RNAcentral.
GGGGUCGACUGGUUUUGACAGCAUGUAGAAGUGGUGUGUAAGCAUGCAGAGCCAUGAUGCCUACGCUCUAUAAUAUCUUGACAUCAAAAAUUUAUCUGGCGAAAAUAACUACGCUCUUGCUGCUUGAUUGAAGCAUAGUAGAUCAGCUUAAUCUCCGCCACAGUGGCGGAGACAAGACAUCACCCGAUUGCUCAUUUCCCGUAGCUUAUCGACUCGGUGGUGCUCAUUAAUCGGGAAUAGGGACAGUUUUGUCUGGGAGCUGUUCUGAAAUUUUACAGAAUAAGUUGCAGAUUGGUCGCCAUGAUCCAGUCUGCUUCCGACAAUCAACUCAUGGAUAAGCAUGUAGAAAGCUCAUUAGUUCCAUGUUUGGACGAGGGUUCGAAUCCCUCCGGCUCCACA